RNAcentral lists this long non-coding RNA (851 nucleotides) under Homo sapiens (human). RNAcentral's name for it is "HSALNT0310481". The record is from RNAcentral. Lineage: Eukaryota; Metazoa; Chordata; Mammalia; Primates; Hominidae.
CACAGACACACACACACACAUGCACACACACACACUCUCACUCCCCCAAACAUGUCCAUCAAGUGCUGAAGAUGCUUAGCUAGCCUGGGAUCAACUAUAUGCAAGCUGAGAGAAAGGGUUUACUCCUCAGGAGGUUCAAACUUAUCACCUAAAAAUAAAUCACCUAAAUCUGUAAAUGACAGCUCAUGCAGGAAGGAAGGGGGCUCUUUGCCAUAGAAUUAUAGACUGUUUGAGGAAAAAGGGAGGGUCAUUUGAGAACUUCCUAAUCAUCAGAACUGUCCAGCAAUGGAAUGGCUACUCUCAGGAAACAGUGAGCUUCCCGUCACUGGAGGGAGGAUCACCUGAGCCCAGGAGGUCAAGGCUUCAGUGAGCUGCGAUCUCACUGUCAGGCCUCUGAGCCCAAGCUAAGCCAUGGCAUCCCCGGUGACUUGCACGUAUACGCCCAGAUGGCCUGAAGUAACUGAAGAAUCACAAAAGAAGUGAAAAUGCCCUGCCCCGCCUUAACUGAUGACAUUCCACCACAAAAGAAGUGAAAAUGGCCGGUCCUUGCCUUAACUGAUGACAUUGUCUUGUGAAAUUCCUUCUCCUGGCUCAAAAAGCUCCUCCACUGAGCACCUUGUGACCCCCCACUCCUGCCCGCCAGAGAACAACUUUGUAAUUUUCCUUUGUAAUCCCUUUGUAAUUUUCCUUUACCUACCCAAAUCCUAUAAAACGGCCCCACCCUUACCUCCCUUCGCUGACUCUCUUUUCGGACUCAGCCCGCCUGCACCCAGGUGAUUAAAAGCUUUACUGCUCACACAAAGCCUGUUUGGUGGUCUCUUGUGAGCUGCGAUCUCACCACUGCACUCCAG